RNAcentral lists this unclassified non-coding RNA (490 nucleotides) under Yarrowia lipolytica. The record is from RNAcentral. Lineage: Eukaryota; Fungi; Ascomycota; Dipodascomycetes; Dipodascales.
AGCGACUGAGACACGUUAAGUUAUGCCAGCACAAGAGUGACACUGUGAAACGAUGACGACAGCGCGAAGGUGAAACUGUGAACUGCGAGAGCAGAAUGCCAGCACCUUGAGAGCAUGGGCCAGAGUCAAUCAGUAAGAGCCAGAGCCAUGACGAUAAGCCAGUGAGUGCCAAUGAGCCAAUAAGAGCUAGGUGUUAUGCCAAUGAGAGCCGGAGCUGAAUCGGGCCAGAGCCAAUAAGAGCAGAGAGAUCCAGAGCCAACGAGCCAGAUCUAAAGAGUCAGAUCUCCACAGAGGAGCCAUACUAAAGGCAGUCGGAAGUUGAUCUUCUUGAUUCAAGAUUCGCAUUCAGAAAGGAUGUAGGCAGUCGAAUCUCGACACGAGGAUGUAGACGAGACCGAACCUUUUAGUCUAUAGAAAAGAGGAUGUAAGCAGUGAGCUGAACCUCUGGGGUUAAUAUAUUAUGGACCAUGAAGUCCCACCCAAAUCAUCA